This 260-nucleotide ribosomal RNA is filed under the name uncultured bacterium. RNAcentral describes it as "partial 16S ribosomal RNA". It matches the Rfam family "Bacterial small subunit ribosomal RNA", at positions 94 to 354 of the family's 1533-position model. The record is from RNAcentral.
AGUGGCGGACGGGUGAGUAACGCGUGGGUAACCUGCCUCAUACAGGGGGAUAACAGUUGGAAACGACUGCUAAUACCGCAUAAGCACACAGUACCGCAUGGUACGGUGUGAAAAACUCCGGUGGUAUGAGAUGGACCCGCGUCUGAUUAGCCAGUUGGCGGGGUAACGGCCCACCAAAGCGACGAUCAGUAGCCGACCUGAGAGGGUGACCGGCCACAUUGGGACUGAGACACGGCCCAAACUCCUACGGAAGGCAGCAG